Long non-coding RNA from Pipra filicauda (Wire-tailed manakin), 788 nucleotides. RefSeq lists it as uncharacterized. The transcript has 3 exons. The record is from RefSeq and is a predicted model, not a curated record. NCBI's taxonomy places the organism in Eukaryota, Metazoa, Chordata, Aves, Passeriformes, Pipridae.
GUCUUAGGUUUUGGAAUUUCUUAAUGUUCUUUUUCAUUUUAAAUAAAAAUGCUAUUUUUUCUCCCUGCAACUUUGCCAUUUAAACAUGAUCACAGACAUAUUUUUUCAGGCUCCUUUUUUGACACAACCCAAGCUAUUGGCGUAAGAAGACAAUUCUGCAUUUUCUGAUUAAGUAGCUGGAAAUCCAAUAUAAUUGUCUUUCAUUUUAAUCUUUUGGUCUGGAGUAACUCACAUUUGUUCUUAUCCUGAGGAAAAUGAAGCAUAUUUCUGGAAUUCAAAUCUUGAUCUACCAGAGGAAAGAAUUUGCCUUAAGAAUCUUACAAGGACCUUGGAGCAUUUACAUCUGAGCCCUUCUAACUGAUGGUUUAACAGAGAAAAAAAUGCAAGGUACUGAAGUUUUUUACAUAUGUUUCCAGUGACUGUAGUCAUGGCCCAUCUUUCCAGCCUGCUGGGCUCACUCCAUGCUGCUGUCAGGCCGAGAGAGGUUGCUUCCUAAAUUGCAACUUGGAUUCCAUUUUAAACAUCCAUUGGAAGGGAGUCUGUACGUGCCCCUUUAGAGACCUUCUCUGCUGUCCACUCCCUUCUCCACAUCUUUCAACUUUCCUGCGUGCCUGUCAGAGGCUGAAAUGGUUAACGGCUUAGGUGUUGUUAAGUUCACCAAAAGACUUUUGUCCACUGUGGCAAACUGCAAAGAAAUAGCAAGACCAUCACUUUGGCAGGACUGCAACCAUCACUUCAACCAACAGACAUGGAAAUUGCAACUACCAAGUCUCAUCGUUGGAUCCAGU